This is a non-coding RNA of Phrynosoma platyrhinos (Desert horned lizard), 72 nucleotides long. NCBI's taxonomy places the organism in Eukaryota, Metazoa, Chordata, Lepidosauria, Squamata, Phrynosomatidae. The record is from the annotation of a GenBank genome assembly.
GCCAGUGUGGCACUGUGGUUUGAGCAUUGGACUGCGACUCUGGAGACCAGGGUUCAAAUCACUGUGUGGCCA